This 467-nucleotide ribosomal RNA is filed under the name uncultured bacterium. RNAcentral's name for it is "partial 16S ribosomal RNA". It matches the Rfam family "Bacterial small subunit ribosomal RNA", at positions 28 to 507 of the family's 1533-position model. The record is from RNAcentral.
GAUGAACGCUGGCGGCGUGCUUAACACAUGCAAGUCGAACGGAAAGGCCCAAGCUUGCUUGGGUACUCGAGUGGCGAACGGGUGAGUAACACGUGGGUGAUCUGCCCUGCACUUCGGGAUAAGCCUGGGAAACUGGGUCUAAUACCGGAUAGGACCACAUUUUGGAUGGUGUGGUGGAAAGUUUUUCGGGGUGGGAUGAGCUCGCGGCCUAUCAGCUUGUUGGUGGGGUAAUGGCCUACCAAGGCGUCGACGGGUAGCCGGCCUGGGAGGGUGUACGGCCACAUUGGGACUGAGAUACGGCACAGACUCCUACGGGCGGCAGCAGUGGGGAAUAUUGCACAAUGGGCGCAAGCCUGAUGCAGCGACGCCGCGUGGGGGAUGACGGCAUUCGGGUUGUAAACUCCUUUCGCUAGGGACGAAGCGUUUUUGUGACGGUACCUGGAGAAGAAGCACCGGCUAACUACGUG